AGAGUUUGAUCCUGGCUCAGGAUGAACGCUAGCUACAGGCUUAACACAUGCAAGUCGAGGGGCAGCAUGAACUUAGCUUGCUAAGUUUGUAUGGCGACCGGCGCACGGGUGAGGUAACACGUAUCCAACCUGCCGAUGACUCGGGGAUAGCCUUUCGAAAGAAAGAUUAAUACCCGAUGGCAUAGUUCUUCCGCAUGGUGGAACUAUUAAAGAAUUUCGGUCAUCGAUGGGGAUGCGUUCCAUUAGGUUGUUGGCGGGGUAACGGCCCACCAAGCCUUCGAUGGAUAGGGGUUCUGAGAGGAAGGUCCCCCACAUUGGAACUGAGACACGGUCCAAACUCCUACGGGAGGCAGCA
Molecule: ribosomal RNA, 355 nt
Filed under: uncultured bacterium
Lineage: Bacteria
Description: bacterial SSU rRNA
Rfam family: Bacterial small subunit ribosomal RNA
Source: RNAcentral